Gopherus evgoodei (Goodes thornscrub tortoise) is the source of this 270-nucleotide long non-coding RNA. RefSeq lists it as uncharacterized. NCBI's taxonomy places the organism in Eukaryota, Metazoa, Chordata, Testudines, Testudinidae. The record is from RefSeq and is a predicted model, not a curated record. The transcript is spliced from 3 exons.
GGGCUGGAGCAGCCGGGGCGGAAGCCGGGGAACAAAGGGCAGAGACGCGGGGCAGCCCCCGGGCGGGGCCGUACGAGCCGCUGCUCCCCGGGGGUCCGUGCUGGCGGGGGGGGGAUUAACCCCUCCCUGCCCGGCGGGGGGGGGGUCUCCAGCUGGGACCAGCGGCUGCAGUUCAUCCCAGCCUCCCUUGGGACAGGACAGGGAAAUGGCUGAGAUGGAGCCCGUUCAGGGGCCGGUGAGCUUCGAGGAGGUGGCUGUGUAUUUCACCAG